RNAcentral lists this ribosomal RNA (301 nucleotides) under uncultured bacterium. RNAcentral describes it as "partial 16S ribosomal RNA". It matches the Rfam family "Bacterial small subunit ribosomal RNA", at positions 509 to 807 of the family's 1533-position model. The record is from RNAcentral.
CAGUCGCCACGGGAAUACGAAGGGUGCAAGCGUUACUCGGAAUUACUGGGCGUAAAGCGUGCGUAGGUGGUGGUUUAAGUCCGUUGUGAAAGCCCUGGGCUCAACCUGGGAAUUGCAGUGGAUACUGGGUCACUAGAGUGUGGUAGAGGAUAGUGGAAUUUCCGGUGUAGCAGUGAAAUGCGUAGAGAUCGGAAGGAACAUCUGUGGCGAAGGCGACUAUCUGGGCCAACACUGACACUGAGGCACGAAAGCGUGGGGAGCAAACAGGAUUAGAUACCCCCGUAGUCCCUGUCUCUUAUAC